CCCCUCGUCGUUCAACGGAUAGGACACGAGAUUGCGGAUCUCGUAAUUGAGGUUCGAUUCCUCACGAGGGGACCA
This 75-nucleotide transfer RNA is filed under the name Candidatus Azambacteria bacterium RIFCSPHIGHO2_02_46_12. Its description in RNAcentral is "tRNA-Arg". It matches the Rfam family "tRNA". Rfam says of the family: Transfer RNA (tRNA) molecules are approximately 80 nucleotides in length. RNAcentral also lists the same sequence under 1 other name. The record is from RNAcentral. Lineage: Bacteria; Candidatus Azamiibacteriota.